Molecule: ribosomal RNA, 748 nt
Filed under: uncultured Lachnospiraceae bacterium
Lineage: Bacteria; Bacillati; Bacillota; Clostridia; Lachnospirales; Lachnospiraceae
Description: bacterial SSU rRNA
Rfam family: Bacterial small subunit ribosomal RNA
Source: RNAcentral
GAUGAACGCGGCGGCGUGCUUAACACAUGCAAGUCGAACGGAGUUUAUACGGAGAGCGUCUUCGGACACCGGAAGUAUAAACUUAGUGGCGGACGGGUGAGUAACGCGUGGGUAACCUGCCUUAUACAAGGGGAUAACAGAGGGAAACUUCUGCUAAUACCGUAUAAAAAUAUUUCACGCAUGUGAGAUAUUGAAAGAUUUAUCAGUAUGAGAUGGACCCGCGUCUGAUUAGGUAGUUGGUGAGGUAGAGGCUCACCAAGCCGACGAUCGGUAGCCGAUCUGAGAGGAUGACCGGCCACAUUGGGACUGAGACACGGCCCAAACUCCUACGGGAGGCAGCAGUGGGGAAUAUUGGACAAUGGGGGCAACCCUGAUCCAGCGACGCCGCGUGAGUGAAGAAGUAUUUCGGUAUGUAAAGCUCUAUCGAUAACGGAAGAAGAUGACAAGCCGUUAGGGAAGAAGCCCCGGCUAACUACGUGCCAGCAGCCGCGGUAAUACGUAGGGGGCAAGCGUUAUCCGGAUUUACUGGGUGUAAAGGGAGCGUAGACGGCAUAUAAAGUCUGAAGUGAAAACCCGCAGCUCAACUGCGGAGUUGCUUUGGAAACUUAUAAGCUAGAGUGUCGGAGGGGUAAGCGGAAUUCCCAGUGUAGCGGUGAAAUGCGUAGAUAUUGGGAGGAACACCGGAGGCGAAGGCGGCUUACUGGAAGAUAACUGACGUUGAGGCUCGAAGGCGUGGGUAGCAAACAGG